CCAAAAGUAUCGGUAGGGGAGCAUUCCAUGUGCGUUGAAUGGUGUAAGUGAUUUAUCCUGGAGCGCAUGGAAAAGCAAAUGUAGGUAUAAGUAACGUUAAAAAGGGUGAGAUUCCCUUUCGCUGUAAGACUAAGGUUUCCCGGGCAAUGUCAAUCAGCCCGGGGUCAGUCGGGUCCUAAGCCUCAGCCGAACGGCGAGGGCGAUGGCAGAUACGGUUAAUAUUCCGUGACUACCUUAAGGAGCGAUGUGGAGACGGAGUCGUGAAACUUCCGCGGACCGACGGAAUGGUCCGUUAAAGAGUGUAGAUGUUGAAUCCGGCAGGCAAAUCCGCCGGACGAGUCGAACUUGAGAGUACAGGCUACCCUUCGGGGCGGCUUGACAGUGAAGGUAAGCAUACUCCCGAGAAAAUCCGCUAAGCAUAUCUUUAGGGUACCCGUACCGCAAACGGACACACGUAGUCGGGUAGAACAUACUAAGGCGUUGAGAGAUUCAUGGUUAAGGAACUAGGCAAACUGACCCCGUAACUUCGGGAUAAGGGGUCCUCGUCGCAAGGCGAGGCGCAGAGAAUAGGUCCAGGCAACUGUUUAACAAAGACACAGGGCUGUGCUAACUCGAAAGAUGAAGUAUACGGCCUGACACCUGCCCGGUGCCGGAAGGUUAAGAGGAGAUGUCACCGCAAGGGAAGCAUUGAAUUGAAGCCCCGGUAAACGGCGGCCGUAACGAUAACGGUCCUAAGGUAGCGAAAUUCCUUGUCGGGUAAGUUCCGACCUGCACGAAUGGUGUAAUGAUCCGGACGCUGUCUCAACCAUGAGCUCAGUGAAAUUGUAGUAUCGGUGAAGAUGCCGAUUACCCGCGAUGGGACGAAAAGACCCCGUGAACCUUUACUACAGCUUAGCAUUGACCUUGGUCAUCCGAUGUGUAGGAUAGGCCGGAGGCUUCGAAGCGGGUGCGCCAGCAUUCGUGGAGCCAUCCUUGAAAUACGGCCCUUUGUAUGUCUGAGGUCUAACGCGCUUUGCGCGGACACUGUUUGGUGGGUAGUUUGACUGGGGUGGUCGCCUCCAAAAGCGUAACGGAGGCUUCCAAAGGUGCCCUCGGGCCGAUUGGUAACCGGCCUUAUAGAGUGCAAUGGCAUAAGGGCGCUUGACUGGGAGGCAGACAUGCCGAGCAGGCAGGAAACUGGGGCAUAGUGAUCCGGCGGAUGUGUAUGGAAACUCCGUCGCUCAAAGGAUAAAAGGUACUCCGGGGAUAACAGGCUGAUCCCCCCCAAGAGCUCAUAUCGACGGGGUGGUUUGGCACCUCGAUGUCGGCUCGUCACAUCCUGGGGCUGGAGAAGGUCCCAAGGGUUGGGCUGUUCGCCCAUUAAAGUGGCACGCGAGCUGGGUUCAGAACGUCGUGAGACAGUUCGGUCUCUAUCUAUCGUGGGCGUUGGAGUUUUGCGUGGUGCCGUCACUAGUACGAGAGGACCGUGAUGGACAGACCUCCGGUUUACCAGUUGUGCCGCCAGGUGCACCGCUGGGUAUCUGAGUCUGGAAUGGAUAAGCGCUGAAAGCAUCUAAGUGCGAAGCCAGCCGCAAGAUGAGAGCUCCUCAUAAGGGUCGUUGUAGACGACAACGUUGAUAGGGUGCAGGUGUAAAGACGGUGACGUCAAAGCCGAGCACUACUAAUUGCCC
RNAcentral lists this ribosomal RNA (1670 nucleotides) under metagenome. RNAcentral's name for it is "bacterial LSU rRNA". It matches the Rfam family "Bacterial large subunit ribosomal RNA", at positions 1216 to 2910 of the family's 2925-position model. The record is from RNAcentral.